This 260-nucleotide ribosomal RNA is filed under the name Glomus sp. BSLA-7. Its description in RNAcentral is "partial 18S ribosomal RNA". It matches the Rfam family "Eukaryotic small subunit ribosomal RNA", at positions 624 to 886 of the family's 1831-position model. Lineage: Eukaryota; Fungi; Glomeromycota; Glomeromycetes; Glomerales; Glomeraceae. The record is from RNAcentral.
AAGCUCGUAGUUGAAUUUCGGGAUUGGGAUAUAUCGAUUGUGCCUUUAGGGGCAUGAAACGGUGUGUAGCCAAUUUCUCACCUUCUGGUGAUUCGGGAUGCUCUUGGGUGUUUCGAUGAAUCAGGACCUUUACUUUGAAAAAAUUAGAGUGUUUAAAGCGGGCAUUUUUGCUUGAAUACAUUAGCAUGGAAUAAUAAAAUAGGACGAUGGUUCUAUUUUGUUGGUUUAGGAUCACGUAAUGAUUAAUAGGGAUAGUUGGG